This 68-nucleotide transfer RNA is filed under the name Syntypistis chambae. RNAcentral's name for it is "tRNA-Cys". Lineage: Eukaryota; Metazoa; Arthropoda; Insecta; Lepidoptera; Notodontidae. The record is from RNAcentral.
AGCUUUAUAGUCAAAUAAAUGAUAUAAAAUUGCAAAUUUUAAGUAAUAAUAGGAAAUUAUUAAGGCUU